RNAcentral lists this ribosomal RNA (559 nucleotides) under Acinetobacter gerneri. RNAcentral's name for it is "bacterial SSU rRNA". It matches the Rfam family "Bacterial small subunit ribosomal RNA", at positions 337 to 886 of the family's 1533-position model. The record is from RNAcentral. Lineage: Bacteria; Pseudomonadati; Pseudomonadota; Gammaproteobacteria; Moraxellales; Moraxellaceae.
UCCUACGGGGGAAGCAGCAGUGGGGAAUAUUGGACAAUGGGGGGAACCCUGAUCCAGCCAUGCCGCGUGUGUGAAGAAGGCCUUAUGGUUGUAAAGCACUUUAAGCGAGGAGGAGGCUCCCGUAGCUAAUAUCUACGGAGAGUGGACGUUACUCGCAGAAUAAGCACCGGCUAACUCUGUGCCAGCAGCCGCGGUAAUACAGAGGGUGCGAGCGUUAAUCGGAUUUACUGGGCGUAAAGCGUGCGUAGGCGGCUUUUUAAGUCGGAUGUGAAAUCCCCGAGCUUAACUUGGGAAUUGCAUUCGAUACUGGGAAGCUAGAGUAUGGGAGAGGAUGGUAGAAUUCCAGGUGUAGCGGUGAAAUGCGUAGAGAUCUGGAGGAAUACCGAUGGCGAAGGCAGCCAUCUGGCCUAAUACUGACGCUGAGGUACGAAAGCAUGGGGAGCAAACAGGAUUAGAUACCCUGGUAGUCCAUGCUGUAAACGAUGUCUACUAGCCGUUGGGGCCUUUGAGGCUUUAGUGGCGCAGCUAACGCGAUAAGUAGACCGCCUGGGAGUACGCA